Molecule: ribosomal RNA, 425 nt
Filed under: uncultured Methylosinus sp.
Lineage: Bacteria; Pseudomonadati; Pseudomonadota; Alphaproteobacteria; Hyphomicrobiales; Methylocystaceae
Description: bacterial SSU rRNA
Rfam family: Bacterial small subunit ribosomal RNA
Source: RNAcentral
GCGGCAGGCUUAACACAUGCAAGUCGAACGCUGUAGCAAUACAGAGUGGCAGACGGGUGAGUAACGCGUGGGAACGUGCCUUUCGGUUCGGAAUAACUCAGGGAAACUUGAGCUAAUACCGGAUACGCCCUUCGGGGGAAAGAUUUAUUGCCGAAAGAUCGGCCCGCGUCCGAUUAGCUAGUUGGUGAGGUAACGGCUCACCAAGGCGACGAUCGGUAGCUGGUCUGAGAGGAUGAUCAGCCACACUGGGACUGAGACACGGCCCAGACUCCUACGGGAGGCAGCAGUGGGGAAUAUUGGACAAUGGGCGCAAGCCUGAUCCAGCCAUGCCGCGUGAGUGAUGAAGGCCCUAGGGUUGUAAAGCUCUUUCACCAGGGACGAUAAUGACGGUACCUGGAUAAGAAGCCCCGGCUAACUUCGUGCCA